AGAAUGAACGCUAGCGAUAUGCUUAACACAUGCAAGUUGAACGUUGUUUUCGAAUCAGAAUGAGAACAAAGUAGCGAACGGGUGCGUAACACGUGGGAAUCUGCCGAACAGUUUGGGCCAAAUCCCGAAUGAAUAAAAGCUAAAAAGCGCUGUUUGAUGAGCCCACGUAGUAUUAGGUAGUUGGUUAGGUAAAAGCUGACCAAGCCUACGAUGCUUAGCUGGUCUUUUCGGAUGAUCAGCCACACUGGGACUGAGACACGGCCCCAGACUCCUACGGGAGGCAGCAGUGGGGAAUCUUGGACAAUGGGCGAAAGCCUGAUCCGGCAAUAUGGCGUGAGUGAAGAAGGGCAACGCAGCUUGUAAAGCUCUUUCAUCGAGUGUGCGAUUGUGACAAGACUCGAAUAAGAAGCCCCGGCUAACUCCGUGCCAGCAGCCGC
Molecule: ribosomal RNA, 437 nt
Filed under: uncultured bacterium
Lineage: Bacteria
Description: SSU rRNA
Rfam family: Bacterial small subunit ribosomal RNA
Source: RNAcentral